RNAcentral lists this ribosomal RNA (1433 nucleotides) under Streptomyces puniciscabiei. RNAcentral's name for it is "bacterial SSU rRNA". It matches the Rfam family "Bacterial small subunit ribosomal RNA". The record is from RNAcentral. Lineage: Bacteria; Bacillati; Actinomycetota; Actinomycetes; Kitasatosporales; Streptomycetaceae.
CGGGGGGGGGGGUGCUUACACAUGCAGUCGAACGAUGAAGCCCUUCGGGGUGGAUUAGUGGCGAACGGGUGAGUAACACGUGGGCAAUCUGCCCUUCACUCUGGGACAAGCCCUGGAAACGGGGUCUAAUACCGGAUACGAGGUUCGCAGGCAUCUGUGAACCUGGAAAGCUCCGGCGGUGAAUUGUGAGCCCCGCGGGCUUUCCAGCUUGUUGGUGAGGUACUUGGUCACCAAGGCGGCGACGGGUAGCCGGCCUGAGAGGGCGACCGGCCACACUGGGACUGAGACACGUCCCAGACUCCUACGGGAGGCAGCAGUGGGGAAUAUUGCACAAUGGGCGAAAGCCUGAUGCAGCGACGCCGCGUGAGGGAUGACGGCCUUCGGGUUGUAAACCUCUUUCAGCAGGGAAGAAGCGCAAGUGACGGUACCUGCAGAAGAAGCGCCGGGCUAACUACGUGCCAGCAGCCGCGGUAAUACGUAGGGCGCAAGCGUUGUCCGGGAAUUAUUGGGCGUAAAGAGCUCGUAGGCGGCUUGUCACGUCGAUUGUGAAAGCCCGAGGCUUAACCUCGGGUCUGCAGUCGAUACGGGCUAGCUAGAGUGUGGUAGGGGAGAUCGGAAUUCCUGGUGUAGCGGUGAAAUGCGCAGAUAUCAGGAGGAACACCGGUGGCGAAGGCGGAUCUCUGGGCCAUUACUGACGCUGAGGAGCGAAAGCGUGGGGAGCGAACAGGAUUAGAUACCCUGGUAGUCCACGCCGUAAACGGUGGGAACUAGGUGUUGGCGACAUUCCACGUCGUCGGUGCCGCAGCUAACGCAUUAAGUUCCCCGCCUGGGGAGUACGGCCGCAAGGCUAAAACUCAAAGGAAUUGACGGGGGCCCGCACAAGCGGCGGAGCAUGUGGCUUAAUUCGACGCAACGCGAAGAACCUUACCAAGGCUUGACAUACACCGGAAAGCAUUAGAGAUAGUGCCCCCCUUGUGGUCGGUGUACAGGUGGUGCAUGGCUGUCGUCAGCUCGUGUCGUGAGAUGUUGGGUUAAGUCCCGCAACGAGCGCACCCUUUGUUCUGUGUUGCCAGCAUGCCCUUCGGGGUGAUGGGGACUCACAGGGAGACCGGCGGGGUCAACUCGGAGGAAGGUGGGGACGAACGUCAAGUCAUCAUGCCCCUUAUGUCUUGGGCUGCACACGUGCUACAAUGGCCUGUACAAAGAGCUGCUAUACCGUGAGGUGGAGCGAAUCUCAAAAAGCCGGUCUCAGUUCGGAUUGGGGGUCAUGCAACUCGACCCCAUGAAGUCGGAGUCGCUAGUAAUCGCAGAUCAGCAUUGCUGCGGUGAAUACGUUCCCGGGCCUUGUACACACCGCCCGUCACGUCACGAAAGUUGGUAACACCCGAAGCCGGUGGCCCAACCCCUUGUGGGAGGGAGCUUCGAAAGGGGGG